This is a long non-coding RNA of Ictalurus punctatus (channel catfish), 775 nucleotides long. RefSeq lists it as uncharacterized. The record is from RefSeq and is a predicted model, not a curated record. The transcript has 3 exons. Lineage: Eukaryota; Metazoa; Chordata; Actinopteri; Siluriformes; Ictaluridae.
GUGCACAUCUCGCCUUCCUGAGGAACCCUCUGGCACCGUCCUCCGCUGGGGAAUUGAACACAGCACCAGCCCUCUUCACAGUCACUGGCUGUAUCAUCCGGCUUGUUUUUACGACCUUGUCUCUUCUUUGUGCCCUUGCAUCUGUUUCCCUGGAUUCAGGGAAGAGAUAAGUAAGAGCUUUAUGGGACAGCAGAGAAGUAAGAGUGAGUGAUGUGGAAUGAAUGAAGUCUGCAUCCUGCUUGGCUCAUUACAGUGAUGUCUAGUUUGUUACACCAUACUUAACCAAGGCUCACACUGUCAAGCAGCGGGAAUCAGAAUCCACAACGGAAAACAACUAUCACAAGCCCUGAAGCGGAAAAAGAUUAGAGCUGGAGCAGGCGAUGAGAAGACAUGGUAGUAUUCAGGGAGAACCUAAACUAUCAUUCAGAAAUGGAGGGAAAAGAGAUAUGAGGAGAAAAAGAAAAGAAGAGAAAAAAACAACAACAACAACAGCUGGAAAACUGUAAACAACUUUAGAGGCAAGUAGAAUAAAUGUCCACAUAAUAAUCAGAAAUAUCAUGUUGAUUUUUUAUUUAUUUUUUUUUUUUGUUUACUGUGUAUAUCUUAAUAUCCACCAUUUUGUGAGUCUUCCUGAUCGUGCAUUGUUGUAACGUGUGAAAUCUCUCUCUGAUGGUUUUGCUAUUUUAAAGUAUACAAUAUAGAACUUGCAUCUUUAAAUGAUUACCUUUAUAAUAAUUUAUCAUUUAUUUAUAACUUUUCUGAACAGUUCUGCUCA